Molecule: non-coding RNA, 1378 nt
Organism: Equus caballus (horse)
Lineage: Eukaryota; Metazoa; Chordata; Mammalia; Perissodactyla; Equidae
Source: RefSeq, a predicted model, not a curated record
CUGGCACAGACGUUAGCUGAACAAUAAUCUUCCUCACCAAAAAAAAAAAAAAUUCACAUGUUCAAGUUGAUCCAAACAUACAUCAGUCUUCCAAUCACUGAACUGAGUAUCAAUGUAAAAAAUUUAAAUUAAUUAAGAUGAAAUGAAAUUAAGAAUUCAAGUGGUAACUAGCCACAUGUGGCUGCUGGCUACUGUACUGGACAGUGCAGACCUGGACUAUCAGAACGGCAUUCCCAUUGACUUCUCUGCCUCUAGCUACCAAUGUGUCCUCCACACCACGCUCACUGUGCUGUUGUAACUAUGAACAUUACAAAGGGAAAGUCAGUAAAAUUGAUCCUGCCUUUAUUCAAAAUUUUGAUAUUUUGUUCAUCAGGUACUUUUUGCAUUAAUUUGAAUUUUUUAAAAUACUGCAUUUCAAUGUUACUUAUCUCGAUUACUGAGGUUUUGGCACUCAAAAAUUUUGUCCCUGGGCAAGCCCCUCAUUUGUCUCCCCCUAGUCCUGGCUCUGUAUAAAGUGAUUCAAAGUGAUUCCCCUGCUUAAGUCCCUUCAAAUUCUCUCCAGGUCUUUCAGGAUCAAGUUCAUGGUGGGUAAGGAUGGGAAGUCCCUAAGGCUCUGGUCCGGGCCCUUCCCUUCUGCUCCAUUAAAGACACUUUCCACCAAAGACGAACCUCUGACCUGGAGCGUCUCAGCGUCCCGCCUUCCUUCACGCUGUUUCCUUUGCCUGAGACUCGCUUUCCUGUUUUCUUUCUCCAGCUGAUCCCUACUCCGGCUUCAUUCCGCUUCUCCGGUGGCAGCUUCGGGAUUUGUGCGGCCUGAAGUUCCCACGCGGCCUUCACCUUUGUGGGCUUCGCUGGCCUUCCACCCGCAGCUCCAUCUUCCCGGAGGCUGACGCCUAGGGGUGGUCGGCUUCACGCGCUGUCCUCCCCGCCGGACUCCAGGUGGGAGGAAGCAGCAGGAGAGGAGAGGCGGAAAAACAGAGAGGUCGGCGUGGAUGCCUGCUCCCUCCCUGCCCGAGCCUUGGUUCUGACGCUGGCAGCACGCUCUCACAGCUCCUGCUGGGUCGGAUGAAGAUGCUCUCCCUGGGAACCUCCUCCUGCCCCUGCAGGCCGAGGAGGGUCAUGGUCUCCUGCAGCUGCCAGUUCCGUGGGCCUCCCCCUCUGUUUUGUUUAAGCUGUUCAAUCUGCUGGGAACAACCUCUCAACGUCUGUGUGAGCCUUCAAGCACAUCUCAAAUGCCUCUUCCUCCGUGACUCCACAGCCACACCUCACUGUGGUGCACAUUCUGCCAGUCAUGCGCCACGUAAUGAUAUUUUGAUCAACAAUGAACGGCAUACACAACGGUGAUCCCAUAAGAUUGGUCCCAUAUAGCCUAGUGUAG